AAGGAAAUGAUUUGCUCAGGAUGAGGAAUGAAGACGGCCAUCUUGUGCUCAAACAAACACAAGUCCUCUGAUGAUCUCAUCAGCCAAAUGAGGGGUUUUGACCAAGUGAUGCUCUUGAAAGAAGUGAAACAAGAGGAUGUGGUAAAUUGUCUUCAGAGAAAAAGCUUCUCUAAAGGUCUUAAAGCAGCUUGAAGAAUGGUCUGGGAUGUUAGGACUGAGAGAUCCUCUGGCUGAGAACAAGCUACACCACAUCAGUGCUGGAUAUCAACCACAAACUGUUUCCAGACACAAGAGAAGAAGAUCACGAUGGGGAGAUGAAACCAGUUUAGAUGUGAUGAUAAGCAAUCAUUUUUUUCUGAAACAGUAUCAAAUGUCUUAUAUGUAUCACAUGACCUGUAUCACAGAUGACUGGAUGGGACUGCGUGACUUUUAAGGACAUUUCAUCACUCAUCUGUGUGAACUGAUUAAUAUAUGAGGUUAAUGUAUUUUUGAUGAUAAAUAAUUAUUUUCCU
Molecule: long non-coding RNA, 512 nt
Organism: Carassius carassius (crucian carp)
Lineage: Eukaryota; Metazoa; Chordata; Actinopteri; Cypriniformes; Cyprinidae
Exons: 3
Source: RefSeq, a predicted model, not a curated record